RNAcentral lists this unclassified non-coding RNA (269 nucleotides) under Hevea brasiliensis (rubber tree). The record is from RNAcentral. Lineage: Eukaryota; Viridiplantae; Streptophyta; Magnoliopsida; Malpighiales; Euphorbiaceae.
GCCCAUGCCAGCUCCUUUUUUCAGAAGCUAUUUUGAGUGUAAAACGCAGCGUAUAAUGCUUCAAAUUGCAGAUAGAUUCUGGUCUGUUAACUUGAUCAGCCCUUCAGGUAGUUGUACUGCUACUUUAUCUGCUGGUUGGCAUGCAUUUGCAAGGGAAAAUGCUAUAGAAGUUGGACAUGUUUGUGUCUUUGAGCUUAUUAAGAGGAAUGUAUUGAAUGUAUCCAUUUUUAGAUGCGUCAGUUGACAAUUUCGCCAUUUUCUGUUUUUUG